AAAUAUCGAUGUUUUAAUAUGGCGUGAGAAGUAGAACGUAUUCGUGAACGUGCAAGCAUUUAUUUUUUAAUCAAUAUAAUAAAUUUGUGAAACAUAGAGAAGUGAUAAAGUGAUUUAAAGAUGUGUUUAAAUUUCAAAAGUGUAAUUAUUUGUAAUAUAUAUUAUACGUUCUAUUUUCAUAUAUAAAAAUUAUUUUAUGUAAAUUUAUUCUACGUUACAUCGCAAUAAGAACAGCUAUCCUGUCAAGGAUAAAUGUAUAAAGUGCAAUUCAGUGGUCGGUAUAGAAGUUUUCUGCUAAAGCAACGACCGUUGGAACAGAAUCGAUUUCACCCUUUCUCUGAAGAUGGCAAUAACUCCCACAAUCCUAUGAAUAUUAAUACUGGAUAAAACUAUGGCCAAUUUCAAUGAUCGAUUAAUGGGCAAACUUCGUCUAAUUGUUGGAACGCUAAUUAAAAUCAAGAACAAGAAGUUGGAACCAAAUUAGGAAAGAUGGAACCGUGUGUCCCCAGCGUGUGUCGCCAACCACUAUAAACUUCAGAAGGCUGCAAUUACUUCACUUUGCACUUUUUCAACCAACAUCGUUUAAAGUGAAACCAUGCUGCGUGGCUCUGUCUUUUAAGGAUUAGAAGACUGUUGAUUGAGAGGAGAAGAGGAAAAUUGCGGAUCGGAGAAACUCCAGUGGCUGCAACGGAAACACCGCAACAUCCGGCCAUCUAAUAAAGAACUCUUUACUUAUGAAUAAUUCAACAAUAUCGAACAAGUCGCUAUAUAUCCCGAUCAAAUAACGUAAAUCUUCCCUCGAACACGGAGUUUUUCCUCGUCGAGUUUUCUAUUUCGUGCGAUAAUCUUGAGACCGGAAGUGUGACACGCGUGAUGCCAUUGCAAAUACCUGUAAGAAGGAAAGAGAGGACCUAGAUUGUCUAGGGAUUUCGAGAUAGCCUCGUGGAUGAACAGGGAGGCGACAGUGAUAUAUGAGUGUUGAAUAGGGUUGCUGGUUUAUUCGCUCGAUCUUUAGAGAGAGGAGCCAUAAUCAGCUGUCACCGAUGCUGGUUAAAUUGAUUAAAAAAAAGAACUAGCAAUUCUCCUUUGAUUUUUCUUGUACCAAGCGUAUUACAAGUAUCGCUAAUGCAAAUUAUAAAUCAUGUGUGUAAGCGAAUGCGAAAAAGGAAUUUUAAAGAUAAACGACGUUGUAAUAAUUAACAUCGCUAAUGACGAAAUUAUAAUAUUAAAUUUGUAUUCUCUACCGAAUUUUGAGGGAAAUUAAUUACGAUUGAUAAUUAUUUUGCAAUUAUUACUACAUUAAAAUUAUUAUAGCAAUAGCUAUUUCAAAAUAUUUUAUGUAUAUAUCACUUUCCAAAAAUUGAAAUAACUCCAUAAUUUUAAUGCUAUUGUAAAGUGUAUUUAUAUCUCGAAUCUUAGAUGAAAAAUCAAUAUACAAGUUUCGAUUAAAAAUUACAAUUACAUUCCUUGAAACUGUAUUUAAUUGAAAAAUCUUCUCAAAAAUUUGAUCCGCGAUUUCUAGAAAAAAAAUUCCAAAAAAUUGAAAGAAUCCAAUUCGUUUUCUUCCAAAUUCUACGAUCUUACGAUUUUCAUUUCCCUCCAUUCAUUCUCAAGAAAAGAUGGUCGAUUAUUCCGUUGUUACUCGCACGCGUUCUCGCAUGGGUGAAGCGGGUUGUGCCGUAAUUAGACGUCGCGAAAACGGCGUAACCCCGUCCCUGGAUCCUCUAAAUUCGUCGUCGCUGUGUAUAAUCGACGAGGCGCGCCCCCCGGCGUCCGCAAACAGCGCCGAAACGCCACGAGAAGCUGUGCAAACAUUGCCCGCUCAGAAAGGGUAAAGAGG
Molecule: long non-coding RNA, 1840 nt
Organism: Apis florea (little honeybee)
Lineage: Eukaryota; Metazoa; Arthropoda; Insecta; Hymenoptera; Apidae
Source: RefSeq, a predicted model, not a curated record